RNAcentral lists this ribosomal RNA (468 nucleotides) under uncultured bacterium. RNAcentral's name for it is "partial 16S ribosomal RNA". It matches the Rfam family "Bacterial small subunit ribosomal RNA", at positions 28 to 507 of the family's 1533-position model. The record is from RNAcentral.
GAUGAACGCUGGCGGCGUGCUUAACACAUGCAAGUCGAACGGUGAACACGGAGCUUGCUCUGUGGGAUCAGUGGCGAACGGGUGAGUAACACGUGAGCAACCUGCCCCUGACUCUGGGAUAAGCGCUGGAAACGGCGUCUAAUACUGGAUAUGUGACGUGAUCGCAUGGUCUGCGUCUGGAAAGAAUUUCGGUUGGGGAUGGGCUCGCGGCCUAUCAGCUUGUUGGUGAGGUAAUGGCUCACCAAGGCGUCGACGGGUAGCCGGCCUGAGAGGGUGACCGGCCACACUGGGACUGAGACACGGCCCAGACUCCUACGGGAGGCAGCAGUGGGGAAUAUUGCACAAUGGGCGCAAGCCUGAUGCAGCAACGCCGCGUGAGGGAUGACGGCCUUCGGGUUGUAAACCUCUUUUAGCAGGGAAGAAGCGAAAGUGACGGUACCUGCAGAAGAAGCACCGGCUAACUACGUG